UACGGGGGGAGCAAGCGUUGUUCGGAUUUACUGGGCGUAAAGGGCGCGUAGGCGGCGCCGCAAGUCGACUGUGAAAUCUCCGGGCUUAACCCGGAAAGGUCAGCCGAUACUGCGGGGCUAGAGUGCAGAAGGGGCGACUGGAAUUCUCGGUGUAGCGGUGAAAUGCGUAGAUAUCGAGAGGAACACCUGCGGCGAAGGCGGGUUGCUGGGCUGACACUGACGCUGAUGCGCGAAAGCGUGGGGAGCAAACAGG
Molecule: ribosomal RNA, 253 nt
Filed under: uncultured bacterium
Lineage: Bacteria
Description: partial 16S ribosomal RNA
Rfam family: Bacterial small subunit ribosomal RNA
Source: RNAcentral